This 422-nucleotide ribosomal RNA is filed under the name uncultured bacterium. Its description in RNAcentral is "bacterial SSU rRNA". It matches the Rfam family "Bacterial small subunit ribosomal RNA", at positions 357 to 776 of the family's 1533-position model. The record is from RNAcentral.
AGGAAUAUUGGUCAAUGGGCGAGAGCCUGAACCAGCCAAGUAGCGUGAAGGAUGACCGCCCUAUGGGUUGUAAACUUCUUUUAUAUGGGAAUAAAGGGUGCCACGUGUGGCAUUUUGUAUGUACCAUAUGAAUAAGGAUCGGCUAACUCCGUGCUAGCAGCCGCGGUAAUACGGAGGAUCCGAGCGUUAUCCGGAUUUAUUGGGUUUAAAGGGAGCGUAGGUGGACAUGUAAGUCAGUUGUGAAAGUUUGCGGCUCAACCGUAAAAUUGCAGUUGAAACUGCGUGUCUUGAGUACAGUAGAGGUGGGCGGAAUUCGUGGUGUAGCGGUGAAAUGCUUAGAUAUCACGAAGAACUCCGAUUGCGAAGGCAGCUCACUGGACUGCAACUGACACUGAUGCUCGAAAGUGUGGGUAUCAAACAGG